RNAcentral lists this transfer RNA (69 nucleotides) under Marmota monax (woodchuck). Its description in RNAcentral is "tRNA.Ser". The stretch from base 7 to 64 matches the Rfam family "tRNA", at positions 8 to 63 of the family's 71-position model. From Rfam's summary of the family: Transfer RNA (tRNA) molecules are approximately 80 nucleotides in length. Their secondary structure includes four short double-helical elements and three loops (D, anti-codon, and T loops). The record is from RNAcentral. Lineage: Eukaryota; Metazoa; Chordata; Mammalia; Rodentia; Sciuridae.
GGAAUAUGGCUCAGUUGGUAGAGUGCAUGCCUUGAAAGCAUAAGGCCCUGGGUUUGAUCCCCAGCACCA